Molecule: ribosomal RNA, 321 nt
Filed under: Triticum aestivum (bread wheat)
Lineage: Eukaryota; Viridiplantae; Streptophyta; Magnoliopsida; Poales; Poaceae
Description: partial small subunit ribosomal RNA
Source: RNAcentral
AUGACUUCACACCUAAUGAAGGUUUUAGCAAUCGCCAACCGUUGCUCGAUCGGGGGAAAACCUGUCGCGAGAGACAUAUACACCAGCCUCUUUCUCUCCUGCGAUCCACCUCUGCUCUCUUCUCCUUCAGAAACCCUAGAGUUUCAGGGAGGAGCGGAUCCACCAGCACUGGAGAAGACGUUGCAGCAGGUGGGCACAAAAUCUGAUCCGAUGGUGCCUUACCCGCUGUCAAUGGCAACGUGCGGUGCGCAGUUCAUGUACCAGUUCUUCAAGUGGCUCAUUGCCAACCUACGAAGUGGUCAUCAACCCGAGCUAUGGUGA